Molecule: long non-coding RNA, 484 nt
Filed under: Rattus norvegicus (Norway rat)
Lineage: Eukaryota; Metazoa; Chordata; Mammalia; Rodentia; Muridae
Description: long non-coding RNA NONRATT005569
Source: RNAcentral
GAGUGGCAACACCAGUGGAGUUGUCUCCGUGUGGGACAUCAGUGGAGCGUUCAGUGACUGCAAGCAGCUGGAGCCAGUGAUGACUUUUCUGCCCCAGGACGACUGCACCAAUGGAGUCAGGUCCUCAGUUCACUGAAGGAGCUUGGGGCCAGGGUUUGGGAGGAAGGUGGAUCUCUCGGGGAUUGUCCUGACCUAGGUGCUGACAGACUGCUCUCUUCUCCAGCCUUCACCCUACCUUGCCUCUGCUGGCCACUGCUUCUGGCCAGCGCAUGUUUCCAGAGCCCACCAAUAGCGGGGAUGAAGGUGAGCCGGAGCUGGACCUUCCCCUGCUCUCCCUGCGCCACGCCCAUCCUGAAUGUCAGCUACAGCUCUGGUGGUGUGGAGGGGGACCUGACCCCAGUAACCCUGAUGAGGACCAGGAUGAGAAGGGACAAGGAAGGACAGAGGCUGUCGGAAUGAGUUAAUAUAAAGACUUUGUAUCACA